GGUUAAGGUGGUUUCCUCUCCAAGAGGCUAACCACUGCCUUUCUCAGGAACAUGGCAACCUGGAAGAAAAGCUGGCAUGCCUCAGGUCUUCGUGGAGCACGCUUAUUUCCUUUGCCCUCCUUUGGCUGCCUAUAUAU
Molecule: small nucleolar RNA, 137 nt
Organism: Apodemus sylvaticus (European woodmouse)
Lineage: Eukaryota; Metazoa; Chordata; Mammalia; Rodentia; Muridae
Product: small nucleolar RNA SNORA67
Exons: 1
Source: RefSeq, a predicted model, not a curated record